AUUGAACGCUGGCGGCAUGCCUAAUACAUGCAAGUCGAGCGGACGGACGCGACGCUUUCUUCUCUGGUGUUAGCGGCGGGCGGGUGAGUAACGCGUGGAUACCCUACCUAUAAGACUGUGCUAACUUCGGGAAACCGGAGCUCAUACCGGCUAAUAUUUUGAACCGCAUGGUUCAAAAGUGCGCGCCGUUCUUGCGGUCACUUAUAGAUGGAUCCGCGCUGCAUUAGCUAGUUGGUAAGGUAACGGCUUACCAAGGCAACGAUGCAUAGCUGACCUGAGAGGGUGAUCAGCCACACUGGAACUGAGACACGGUCCAGACUCCUACGGGAGGCAGCAGUAGGGAAUCUUCCGCAAUGGGCGAAAGCCUGACGCAGCAACGCCGCGUGAGUGAUGAAGGCCUUCGGAUCGUAAACUUCUUUUAUUCGGGAAGAAACGAUGUGGAAUAAACUGUGCACAUCUUGACGGUACCGAAACAGAAAGCAACGGCUAACUACGUG
RNAcentral lists this ribosomal RNA (497 nucleotides) under uncultured bacterium. RNAcentral's name for it is "partial 16S ribosomal RNA". It matches the Rfam family "Bacterial small subunit ribosomal RNA", at positions 30 to 507 of the family's 1533-position model. The record is from RNAcentral.